UGGGGAAUAUUGGGCAAUGGGGGGAACCCUGACCCAGCAACGCCGCGUGAAGGAAGAAGGUUUUCGGAUUGUAAACUUCUGUCCUUGGUGAAGAGGAAGAGACGGUAGCCAAGGAGGAAGCCCCGGCUAACUACGUGCCAGCAGCCGCGGUAAUACGUAGGGGGCAAGCGUUGUCCGGAAUCACUGGGCGUAAAGGGCGCGUAGGCGGUAUGUUAAGUCAGGUGUGAAAGUUUUCGGCUCAACCGGAAAAGUGCACUUGAAACUAAUUUACUUGAGUACUGGAGAGGUAAGCGGAAUUCCUAGUGUAGCGGUGAAAUGCGUAGAUAUUAGGAAGAACACCGGUGGCGAAGGCGGCUUACUGGACAGAGACUGACGCUGAGGCGCGAAAGCGUGGGGAGCGAACAGG
This 406-nucleotide ribosomal RNA is filed under the name uncultured prokaryote. RNAcentral's name for it is "bacterial SSU rRNA". It matches the Rfam family "Bacterial small subunit ribosomal RNA", at positions 355 to 776 of the family's 1533-position model. The record is from RNAcentral.